UGAAGCUGGAAUCGCUAGUAAUCGCGGAUCAGAAUGCCGCGGUGAAUACGUUCCCGGGUCUUGUACACACCGCCCGUCACACCAUGGGAGUCGGAAAUGCCCGAAGUCAGUGACCCAACCGUAAGGAGGGAGCUGCCGAAGGUGGAGCCGGUAACUGGGGUGAAGUCGUAACAAGGUAAC
RNAcentral lists this ribosomal RNA (180 nucleotides) under uncultured bacterium. Its description in RNAcentral is "partial 16S ribosomal RNA". It matches the Rfam family "Bacterial small subunit ribosomal RNA", at positions 1321 to 1500 of the family's 1533-position model. The record is from RNAcentral.